GACGAACGCUGGCGGCGUGCUUAACACAUGCAAGUCGAACGAAGAGCGAUGGAAGCUUGCUUCUAUCAAUCUUAGUGGCGAACGGGUGAGUAACGCGUAAUCAACCUGCCCUUCAGAGGGGGACAACAGUUGGAAACGACUGCUAAUACCGCAUACGAUCUAACCUCGGCAUCGAGGAUAGAUGAAAGGUGGCCUCUACAUGUAAGCUAUCACUGAAGGAGGGGAUUGCGUCUGAUUAGCUAGUUGGAGGGGUAACGGCCCACCAAGGCGAUGAUCAGUAGCCGGUCUGAGAGGAUGAACGGCCACAUUGGGACUGAGACACGGCCCAGACUCCUACGGGAGGCAGCAGUGGGGAAUCUUCCGCAAUGGACGAAAGUCAGACGGAGCAACGCCGCGUGAGUGAUGACGGCCUUCGGGUUGUAAAGCUCUGUUAAUCGGGACGAAAGGCCUUCUUGCGAAUAGUUAGAAGGAUUGACGGUACCGGAAUAGAAAGCCACGGCUAACUACGUG
Molecule: ribosomal RNA, 510 nt
Filed under: uncultured bacterium
Lineage: Bacteria
Description: partial 16S ribosomal RNA
Rfam family: Bacterial small subunit ribosomal RNA
Source: RNAcentral